This is a long non-coding RNA of Thalassophryne amazonica, 164 nucleotides long. RefSeq lists it as uncharacterized. The transcript is spliced from 3 exons. NCBI's taxonomy places the organism in Eukaryota, Metazoa, Chordata, Actinopteri, Batrachoidiformes, Batrachoididae. The record is from RefSeq and is a predicted model, not a curated record.
UGUUCUUAUUUAUUUAUUUUUUUUGUUUUGUGCUUUGCUGGUGAAACUAGAGCUGCAGAACGAACCCCAACACAGACCAAGAGAGGCGGUACAAUGAACUUCAUUCCUGCACUUGGACAGUAGUGGAGGGGGCAAUUGGGACACGGGCAAUCGGGACACGGCCA